RNAcentral lists this ribosomal RNA (300 nucleotides) under uncultured Lactobacillus sp. RNAcentral's name for it is "bacterial SSU rRNA". It matches the Rfam family "Bacterial small subunit ribosomal RNA", at positions 496 to 795 of the family's 1533-position model. The record is from RNAcentral. Lineage: Bacteria; Bacillati; Bacillota; Bacilli; Lactobacillales; Lactobacillaceae.
UGUACUGCAGUGGCAUGAGGAGCGGUGAUACAGGGGGGGUGAGGGUUAAUCGGAUUUAAUGGGCGUAAAGCGCGCGGAGGUGGCUAAUUAAGUCAAAUGUGAAAUGCCCGAGCUUAACUUGUGAAUUGCAUUCGAUACUGGUUGGCUAGAGUAUGGGAGAGGAUGGUAGAAUUCCAGGUGUAGCGGUGAAAUGCGUAGAGAUCUGGAGGAAUACCGAUGGCGAAGGCAGCCAUCUGGCCUAAUACUGACACUGAGGUACGAAAGCAUGGGGAGCAAACAGGAUUAGAUACCCGGGUAGUC